GAAAUGCAAUUUAGAGGACCCUUCAUGAAUCAAGACCAUCUUACAUUCAUUCAUUAUCAUAAAAGGCCCAAAAUGUUGCGAAUUUCAAUUCCUAAACAUGACAUUAGCAUAAAAACGUCGGAUUUUGAAUUAUAUUCUAAAGAAAGUGGAAGCUAUACCGUCUCUCGAAGGCUCGGUUACAAAGCAUUUCACUUACAGCGGCCAUAUUGGAAAAAAAUAAUUUUUUGUUGUUUUGUGUAAAAUAUUGGCCAAAUUUAACACGAAAGACGUACAAUGUCGGCGUCAAGAUUCCUUCUUCGCACCGGUUUAUUGUCCAAGUUUGCUCGACGUGCGUUUGCAACCGAGGUGGCUAUAUCUCCUGUCCCAAAACUCGAACAUUACAGCCCAGUGGAAAUGGAAAGAAAUGAUAUCGCAGAGGCUCUUGUGGAAAAAGCCAAGAAGCCAUGGACUGAGCUUAGUAAAGAAGAUAAAAUAGCAAGUAAGUUUGAAGUAUACCGUGUGAUAGGGUGUCUUUAAAGAGUUUAUACAAAAACCAUGUGGUAUUAAUGUACGAGUCAAAUCCAACCGCGAUUAGGGCUCCCCCGGGG
Non-coding RNA from Paramuricea clavata, 587 nucleotides. The record is from the annotation of a GenBank genome assembly. NCBI's taxonomy places the organism in Eukaryota, Metazoa, Cnidaria, Anthozoa, Malacalcyonacea, Plexauridae.